GACGAACGCUGGCGGCGUGCUUAACACAUGCAAGUCGAACGAUGAAGCCCAGCUUGCUGGGUGGAUUAGUGGCGAACGGGUGAGUAACACGUGAGUAACCUGCCCCUGACUCUGGGAUAAGCGUUGGAAACGACGUCUAAUACUGGAUAUGACUACUGGUCGCAUGGUCUGGUGGUGGAAAGAUUUUUUGGUUGGGGAUGGACUCGCGGCCUAUCAGCUUGUUGGUGAGGUAAUGGCUCACCAAGGCGACGACGGGUAGCCGGCCUGAGAGGGUGACCGGCCACACUGGGACUGAGACACGGCCCAGACUCCUACGGGAGGCAGCAGUGGGGAAUAUUGCACAAUGGGCGAAAGCCUGAUGCAGCAACGCCGCGUGAGGGAUGACGGCCUUCGGGUUGUAAACCUCUUUUAGUAGGGAAGAAGCGAAAGUGACGGUACCUGCAGAAAAAGCACCGGCUAACUACGUGCCAGCAGCCGCGGUAAUACGUAGGGUGCAAGCGUUGUCCGGAAUUAUUGGGCGUAAAGAGCUCGUAGGCGGUUUGUCGCGUCUGCUGUGAAAUCCCGAGGCUCAACCUCGGGCUUGCAGUGGGUACGGGCAGACUAGAGUGCGGUAGGGGGAGAUUGGAAUUCCUGGUGUAGCGGUGGAAUGCGCAGAUAUCAGGAGGAACACCGAUGGCGAAGGCAGAUCUCUGGGCCGUAACUGACGCUGAGGAGCGAAAGCGUGGGGAGCGAACAGGAUUAGAUACCCUGGUAGUCCACGCCGUAAACGUUGGGCGCUAGAUGUAGGGACCUUUCCACGGUUUCUGUGUCGUAGCUAACGCAUUAAGCGCCCCGCCUGGGGAGUACGGCCGCAAGGCUAAAACUCAAAGGAAUUGACGGGGGCCCGCACAAGCGGCGGAGCAUGCGGAUUAAUUCGAUGCAACGCGAAGAACCUUACCAAGGCUUGACAUACACCGGAAACGGCCAGAGAUGGUCGCCCCCUUGUGGUCGGUGUACAGGUGGUGCAUGGUUGUCGUCAGCUCGUGUCGUGAGAUGUUGGGUUAAGUCCCGCAACGAGCGCAACCCUCGUUCUAUGUUGCCAGCGCGUUAUGGCGGGGACUCAUAGGAGACUGCCGGGGUCAACUCGGAGGAAGGUGGGGAUGACGUCAAAUCAUCAUGCCCCUUAUGUCUUGGGCUUCACGCAUGCUACAAUGGCCGGUACAAAGGGCUGCGAUACCGUAAGGUGGAGCGAAUCCCAAAAAGCCGGUCUCAGUUCGGAUUGAGGUCUGCAACUCGACCUCAUGAAGUCGGAGUCGCUAGUAAUCGCAGAUCAGCAACGCUGCGGUGAAUACGUUCCCGGGCCUUGUACACACCGCCCGUCAAGUCAUGAAAGUCGGUAACACCCGAAGCCGGUGGCCUAACCCUUGUGGAAGGAGCCGUCGAAGGUGGGAUCGGUGAUUAGGACUAAGUCGUAACAAGG
This 1459-nucleotide ribosomal RNA is filed under the name Curtobacterium luteum. RNAcentral's name for it is "bacterial SSU rRNA". It matches the Rfam family "Bacterial small subunit ribosomal RNA". Lineage: Bacteria; Bacillati; Actinomycetota; Actinomycetes; Micrococcales; Microbacteriaceae. The record is from RNAcentral.